This 405-nucleotide ribosomal RNA is filed under the name uncultured microorganism. Its description in RNAcentral is "bacterial SSU rRNA". It matches the Rfam family "Bacterial small subunit ribosomal RNA", at positions 9 to 416 of the family's 1533-position model. The record is from RNAcentral.
GAGUUUGAUCUUGGCUCAGAUUGAACGCUGGCGGCAUGCCUUACACAUGCAAGUCGAACGGUAACAGGUCUUCGGAUGCUGACGAGUGGCGAACGGGUGAGUAAUACAUCGGAACGUGCCCGAUCGUGGGGGGAUAACGAAGCGAAAGCUUUGCUAAUACCGCAUACGAUCUACGGAUGAAAGCAGGGGACCGCAAGGCCUUGCGCGAACGGAGCGGCCGAUGGCAGAUUAGGUAGUUGGUGGGGAUAAAAGCUUACCAAGCCGACGAUCUGUAGCUGGUCUGAGAGGACGACCAGCCACACUGGGACUGAGGCACGGCCCAGACUCCUACGGGAGGCAGCAGUGGGGAAUUUUGGACAAUGGGCGAAAGCCUGAUCCAGCCAUGCCGCGUGCAGGAUGAAGGCC